GAUGAAGAACGCAGCGAAAUGCGAUACGUAGUGUGAAUUGCAGAAUUCAGUGAAUCAUCGAAUCUUUGAACGCACAUUGCGCCCUUUGGUAUUCCAAAGGGCAUGUCUGUUCGAGCGUCAUUUGUACCCUCAAGCUUUGCUUGGUGUUGGGCGUUUUUGUCUUUGGCCCGCCAAAGACUCGCCUUAAAAUGAUUGGCAGCCGGCCUACUGGUUUCGCAGCGCAGCACAUUUUUGCGCUUGCAAUCAGCAAAAGAGGACGGCAAUCCAUCAAGACUCCUUCUCACGUUUGACCUCGGAUCAGGUAUGGAUACCCGCUGAACUUAAGCAUAUCAAUAAGCGGAGGA
Molecule: unclassified non-coding RNA, 344 nt
Filed under: soil metagenome
Description: partial contains 5.8S ribosomal RNA, internal transcribed spacer 2, and large subunit ribosomal RNA
Rfam family: 5.8S ribosomal RNA (bases 1-120)
Source: RNAcentral